CAGGUAGGUGGCUAUAUAAGUCGAAGGUGAAAUCCUUGCGCUCAACGCAAGAACUGCCUUCGAGACUAUGUAGCUUGAGUGCAGAAGAGGAAAACGGAAUUCCAGGUGUAAGAGUGAAAUCUGUAGAUAUCUGGAAGAACGCCAGUGGCGAAAGCGGUUUUCUGGUCUGCAACUGACAUUGAGCUGCGAAAGCUAGGGGAGCAAACAGGAUUAGAUACCCUGGUAGUCC
RNAcentral lists this ribosomal RNA (229 nucleotides) under uncultured bacterium. RNAcentral's name for it is "partial 16S ribosomal RNA". It matches the Rfam family "Bacterial small subunit ribosomal RNA", at positions 568 to 796 of the family's 1533-position model. The record is from RNAcentral.